CUUUGGUUAUUCAAAUUUAUUCUUUUCUCGGGGUUUCAUGUGUUGUAAUUCUGAGGAAGGAGUAACAAGCAGAAAAUGCCUGUUUUGGUUUCCUUGAGUCAGCAUGUGCCAUAGUAAUUAUUAUAGAUGAAGCGUUUCAUGCCUCAUUUCAAAGUGUGUAACAGUUGAUACAGCACUCCAGUCUCCGCAUGACUACACCUCUAUUACUUUUGCAUGAAAAUUUUCAAUUAUUAGCCAUCUUUC
This 243-nucleotide unclassified non-coding RNA is filed under the name Hevea brasiliensis (rubber tree). The record is from RNAcentral. Lineage: Eukaryota; Viridiplantae; Streptophyta; Magnoliopsida; Malpighiales; Euphorbiaceae.